Molecule: unclassified non-coding RNA, 295 nt
Filed under: plant metagenome
Description: partial contains small subunit ribosomal RNA, internal transcribed spacer 1, and 5.8S ribosomal RNA
Source: RNAcentral
UCUCCGUAGGUGAACCUGCGGAAGGAUCAUCAUCAAGUUUUAACUAAUAUCAAGGACUCUGUGAGUGGCAACCUUUGCAGAUUCUCCUUGGUAUUUAACCAAUGUGAAUUGGGGGAAGUAUAUUGAAGGACGCAAGUCUUGACUAUAUAUUGAACUCAUUUUUUCUCUUGAUGCAAAGACCAAUGUGUGUCAAAGCUCAUAUGUUUUAGUGUCUUGAGAGAUAUUAACUAUUAAAAGAGUCGGAUAAAAAACAAAAAAUUAAAAACAACUUUUAACAAUGGAUCUCUUGGCUCUU